GCUUGGGGAAGUCGAUGGACUGACAACCAGUGGAGGAGUAAGACUUUGUGGACUUAAGCGGCCACUGUUUGACACCAGCGGAUUGUCAGAAGCAUAAGCUAACCACCUGGGACCCACAGCCAUUGGACCAUAUCCAAUAUUAACUCCAUUGGUUCCUUGGCCUCCCAACUGAGGGACUGGAUAAGUGAGGACACUGAAUUUGUUCUCAAGAGUCAGAGCAUCAAAACAGUAUAUCUGCCA
Molecule: unclassified non-coding RNA, 240 nt
Filed under: Hevea brasiliensis (rubber tree)
Lineage: Eukaryota; Viridiplantae; Streptophyta; Magnoliopsida; Malpighiales; Euphorbiaceae
Source: RNAcentral